GCGAAACAUCUUUUCAAGUGACAAGGAAGAUCUUGAUAACUCAAAUGCAAUGCAGGCAUGACUUUAUCAUUUGAUAAGUUCCAUAUGUCACUAUUCAGAAUUGCAUUCCA
Molecule: microRNA precursor, 110 nt
Filed under: Medicago truncatula (barrel medic)
Lineage: Eukaryota; Viridiplantae; Streptophyta; Magnoliopsida; Fabales; Fabaceae
Description: miR5258 stem-loop (mtr-MIR5258)
Source: miRBase by way of RNAcentral